AUGAACGCUGGCGGCGUGCCUCAUACAUGCAAGUCGCGCGAACAGACGAGGAGCUUGCUCCUCUGACGUUAGCGGCGGACGGGUGAGUAACACGUGGAUAACCUACCUAUAAGACUGGGAUAACUUCGGGAAACCGGAGCUAAUACCGGAUAAUAUAUUGAACCGCAUGGUUCAAUAGUGAAAGACGGUUUUGCUGUCACGUAUAGAUGGAUCCGCGCCGCAUUAGCUAGUUGGUAAGGUAACGGCUUACCAAGGCGACGAUGCGUAGCCGAACUGAGAGGGUGAUAGGCCACCCUGGAACUGAGCCACGGUCCAGACUCCUACGGGAGGCAGCAGUAGGGAAUCUUCCGCAAUGGGCGAAAGCCUGACGGAGCAACGCCGCGUGAGUGAUGAAGGUCUUCGGAUCGUAAAACUCUGUUAUUAGGGAAGAACAAAUGUGUAAGUAACUAUGCACGUCUUGACGGUACCUAAUCAGAAAGCCACGGCUAACUACGUG
RNAcentral lists this ribosomal RNA (496 nucleotides) under uncultured bacterium. Its description in RNAcentral is "partial 16S ribosomal RNA". It matches the Rfam family "Bacterial small subunit ribosomal RNA", at positions 29 to 507 of the family's 1533-position model. The record is from RNAcentral.